GUCCCUUUGGGGGACCUCCGAUAAAAUUAUAACGACACAAAAAAUAUUAAUGACCCUUGUUCAAGAAUGACACACACAAAUUAAAAAAUGAUCUAAAUAUAA
This is a non-coding RNA of Solanum lycopersicum (tomato), 102 nucleotides long. NCBI's taxonomy places the organism in Eukaryota, Viridiplantae, Streptophyta, Magnoliopsida, Solanales, Solanaceae. The record is from Rfam.